GUAGUCCACGCCCUAAACGAUGCAUAUUUGGUGUGGGCAGUUCAUUCUGUCCGUGCCGGAGCUAACGCGUUAAAUAUGCCGCCUGGGGAGUACAGUCGCAAGGCUGAAACUCAAAGGAAUUGACGGGGGCCCGCACAAGCGGUGGAGCAUGUGGUUCAAUUCGACGCAACGCGAAGAACCUUACCUGGGCUCGAACGGCCGGCUAACGAUCUUGGAAACAGGGUUACCCCGCAAGGGGGUCCGGUCGAGGUGCUGCAUGGCUGUCGUCAGCUCGUGUCGUGAGAUGUUGGGUUAAGUCCCGCAACGAGCGCAACCCUUGUCCUGUGUUGCCAUGCCGAAAGGCGGAACUCGCAGGAGACCGCCAGCGAUAAGCUGGA
RNAcentral lists this ribosomal RNA (377 nucleotides) under uncultured bacterium. RNAcentral's name for it is "bacterial SSU rRNA". It matches the Rfam family "Bacterial small subunit ribosomal RNA", at positions 790 to 1167 of the family's 1533-position model. The record is from RNAcentral.